Molecule: ribosomal RNA, 482 nt
Filed under: uncultured bacterium
Lineage: Bacteria
Description: partial 16S ribosomal RNA
Rfam family: Bacterial small subunit ribosomal RNA
Source: RNAcentral
AUUGAACGCUGGCGGCAUGCUUUACACAUGCAAGUCGAACGGUAACAGGCCGCAAGGUGCUGACGAGUGGCGAACGGGUGAGUAAUGCAUCGGAACGUGCCCAGUCGUGGGGGAUAACUACUCGAAAGAGUAGCUAAUACCGCAUACGAUCUAUGGAUGAAAGCGGGGGACCGUAAGGCCUCGCGUGAUUGGAGCGGCCGAUGUCAGAUUAGGUAGUUGGUGGGGUAAAGGCUCACCAAGCCAACGAUCUGUAGCUGGUCUGAGAGGACAACCAGCCACACUGGGACUGAGACACGGCCCAGACUCCUACGGGAGGCAGCAGUGGGGAAUUUUGGACAAUGGGCGCAAGCCUGAUCCAGCAAUGCCGCGUGCAGGAAGAAGGCCUUCGGGUUGUAAACUGCUUUUGUACGGAACGAAACGGCUCUGGUUAAUACCCGGGGCUAAUGACGGUACCGUAAGAAUAAGCACCGGCUAACUACGUG